GGUCGGUUGGCCGAGUGGUUAGGCAACGGUCUGCAAAACCGUGUACGGCGGUUCGAGUCCGCCAUCGACCU
Molecule: transfer RNA, 71 nt
Filed under: Marinilabiliaceae bacterium
Lineage: Bacteria; Pseudomonadati; Bacteroidota; Bacteroidia; Marinilabiliales; Marinilabiliaceae
Also listed under: 1 other name
Description: tRNA-Cys
Rfam family: tRNA
About the family: Transfer RNA (tRNA) molecules are approximately 80 nucleotides in length. Their secondary structure includes four short double-helical elements and three loops (D, anti-codon, and T loops).
Source: RNAcentral